GGUGCUAUAGUGUAGUGGUUAUCACUCGGGAUUUUGAUGAAGGGCCAUCGCUCACGAGCUUCCCGGAACCCAGGUUCGAACCCUGGUAGCACCU
Polyporus arcularius HHB13444 is the source of this 94-nucleotide non-coding RNA. The record is from the annotation of a GenBank genome assembly. NCBI's taxonomy places the organism in Eukaryota, Fungi, Basidiomycota, Agaricomycetes, Polyporales, Polyporaceae.